Long non-coding RNA from Saccostrea cuccullata (small rock oyster), 235 nucleotides. RefSeq lists it as uncharacterized. The transcript has 3 exons. The record is from RefSeq and is a predicted model, not a curated record. Lineage: Eukaryota; Metazoa; Mollusca; Bivalvia; Ostreida; Ostreidae.
GGAAUCCGAAUACUCACAAGAAGGACAAAACCAGUAUGAAAAUUAACACAAAGAAAUUGUGCAAGAAAAGUUUGAAGUAUCUAUGGGAAUGAUCUGACAACAACGAACUUGUUGAUCCUUCCUUCUUAAAGUGACAUGACCAGAUAUUUGGCUACCCAGUUUGAGUAUCUUUCUGCUAAAUGAAAUAAAAUAUUUUGGAGGAACACGGAGAAAAGGGCACUUCAACAAGUUCAAG